RNAcentral lists this ribosomal RNA (462 nucleotides) under uncultured Streptococcus sp. RNAcentral describes it as "bacterial SSU rRNA". It matches the Rfam family "Bacterial small subunit ribosomal RNA", at positions 916 to 1382 of the family's 1533-position model. Lineage: Bacteria; Bacillati; Bacillota; Bacilli; Lactobacillales; Streptococcaceae. The record is from RNAcentral.
GGGGCCCGCACAAGCGGUGGAGCAUGUGGUUAAUUCGAAGCAACGCGAAGACCUUACCAGGUCUUGACAUCCCGAUGCUAUUCUAGAGAUAGAAAGUUACUUCGGUACAUCGGUGACAGGUGGUGCAUGGUUGUCGUCAGCUCGUGUCGUGAGAUGUUGGGUUAAGUCCCGCAACGAGCGCAACCCCUAUUGUUAGUUGCCAUCAUUCAGUUGGGCACUCUAGCGAGACUGCCGGUAAUAAACCGGAGGAAGGUGGGGAUGACGUCAAAUCAUCAUGCCCCUUAUGACCUGGGCUACACACGUGCUACAAUGGUUGGUACAACGAGUUGCGAGUCGGUGACGGCGAGCUAAUCUCUUAAAGCCAAUCUCAGUUCGGAUUGUAGGCUGCAACUCGCCUACAUGAAGUCGGAAUCGCUAGUAAUCGCGGAUCAGCACGCCGCGGUGAAUACGUUCCCGGGCCUU